CCUACGGGAGGCAGCAGUGGGGAAUAUUGCACAAUGGGCGCAAGCCUGAUGCAGCCAUGCCGCGUGUAUGAAGAAGGCCUUCGGGUUGUAAAGUACUUUCAGUCGUGAGGAAGGUGGUGUUGUUAUUAGCAAGCAUCAUUUGACGUUAGCGACAGAAGAAGCACCGGCUAACUCCGUGCCAGCAGCCGCGGUAAU
This 195-nucleotide ribosomal RNA is filed under the name gamma proteobacterium T12. Its description in RNAcentral is "partial 16S ribosomal RNA". It matches the Rfam family "Bacterial small subunit ribosomal RNA", at positions 338 to 524 of the family's 1533-position model. Lineage: Bacteria; Pseudomonadati; Pseudomonadota; Gammaproteobacteria. The record is from RNAcentral.